UAGGCAAGGUCAAAAUUCGUUCGUUGAAUUUUGGUGAAGAAGCCAUUAUCAAUGAAAUUGAAAGCGAUGUGAUUUUCUUCGACAUUUCCACCGGCUGCUGGUUCAGUUCAUUAAAAGUUCCGUUUAUUCAAAACUAUUUGAAAUAUGCAACAAAGGACAAAUACUCUGCAGCAAGGGAACGCAUCUCGCAAGAAGCCGCAAGUCUCUCAUCAAUUUUCAUUCAAUUGCUUCAAGUUUUGUCAACGCCACAAACGAAGAUAAUGUUUACGAAGCUGAAAGCCACAUGUUGUAUGUACUUUGCUCAUUAUUACUUAUUUACUAGGAGUUACUAUCGCAAGGGAAGUGCUGCCCCUCCACCAAGUAAGGUAAAACAGUUUGGAAACUGCUAUUGCGUGUUUUCCAUCAUGUAUCAUCUGCCAUAAACAAUACAAUAAUGAAUGGUAAAAAUAAAAAUACAGCAAGAAACCGCAACAACUCGUAUACUUUGUCAUUGCAUAAAGACAAGCUAAUUGUGUCAUCUUUUAUUUUCAAA
Xenia sp. Carnegie-2017 is the source of this 532-nucleotide long non-coding RNA. RefSeq lists it as uncharacterized. NCBI's taxonomy places the organism in Eukaryota, Metazoa, Cnidaria, Anthozoa, Malacalcyonacea, Xeniidae. The transcript has 3 exons. The record is from RefSeq and is a predicted model, not a curated record.